AGAGCGAACGCUGGCGGCAGGCCUAACACAUGCAAGUCGAACGGAUCCUUCGGGAUUAGUGGCAGACGGGUGAGUAACACGUGGGAACGUGCCUUUUGGUUCGGAACAACUCAGGGAAACUUGAGCUAAUACCGGAUGUGCCCUUCGGGGGAAAGAUUUAUCGCCAUUAGAGCGGCCCGCGUCUGAUUAGCUAGUUGGUGAGGUAAAGGCUCACCAAGGCUUCGAUCAGUAGCUGGUCUGAGAGGAUGAUCAGCCACACUGGGACUGAGACACGGCCCAGACUCCUACGGGAGGCAGCAGUGGGGAAUCUUGCGCAAUGGGCGAAAGCCUGACGCAGCCAUGCCGCGUGAAUGAUGAAGGUCUUAGGAUUGUAAAAUUCUUUCACCGGGGAUGAUAAUGACAGUACCCGAGAAGAAGACCCGGCUAACUUCGUGCCAGCAGCCGC
Molecule: ribosomal RNA, 445 nt
Filed under: uncultured soil bacterium
Lineage: Bacteria
Description: bacterial SSU rRNA
Rfam family: Bacterial small subunit ribosomal RNA
Source: RNAcentral